GAGCACGUAGUUUAGUUUGGAAGAACGUUUGCCUGCGGAGCAAAAGGUCGAGGGUUCAAAUCCCUUCGUGCUCG
RNAcentral lists this transfer RNA (74 nucleotides) under Candidatus Heimdallarchaeota archaeon. RNAcentral's name for it is "tRNA-Arg". It matches the Rfam family "tRNA". From Rfam's summary of the family: Transfer RNA (tRNA) molecules are approximately 80 nucleotides in length. Their secondary structure includes four short double-helical elements and three loops (D, anti-codon, and T loops). The record is from RNAcentral. Lineage: Archaea; Promethearchaeati; Candidatus Heimdallarchaeota.